This 300-nucleotide unclassified non-coding RNA is filed under the name Hevea brasiliensis (rubber tree). The record is from RNAcentral. Lineage: Eukaryota; Viridiplantae; Streptophyta; Magnoliopsida; Malpighiales; Euphorbiaceae.
CAAAAUGUUAGAAGCAGAAGGGUUUAACAUUGCAAAGUGCACUACCAUUAAAAAAACUAUAUAAAAAGGGCUCCUUAGCCAUUGAGAACACAAGGGACGCUCAAGAUCCAAUUAAGAGGUUAGUAGGAAUGCAAUUUUACGUAGCUGAACAAAGUUACAAGACUUUUAAAAACAAUUACGCAUUACAGCAAGAGAAAUUCAAACAUGUCAACUCUCAAGUAUUAUUUAAGUAGCAAUCUAUGCGCACUUGUAGAAAAGGAAAGAAAAGGGAAAGAUUAAACUGGUACACCAUUGAAAAGU